RNAcentral lists this ribosomal RNA (443 nucleotides) under uncultured bacterium. RNAcentral's name for it is "partial 16S ribosomal RNA". It matches the Rfam family "Bacterial small subunit ribosomal RNA", at positions 338 to 795 of the family's 1533-position model. The record is from RNAcentral.
CCCACGGGUGGCAGCAGUGGGGAAUAUUGGGCAAUGGGCGCAAGCCUGACCCAGCAACGCCGCGUGAAGGAAGAAGGCUUUCGGGUUGUAAACUUCUUUUCUCAGGGACGAAGCAAGUGACGGUACCUGAGGAAUAAGCCACGGCUAACUACGUGCCAGCAGCCGCGGUAAUACGUAGGUGGCAAGCGUUAUCCGGAUUUACUGGGUGUAAAGGGCGUGUAGGCGGGAAAGCAAGUCAGAUGUGAAAACCAUGGGCUCAACCUGUGGCCUGCAUUUGAAACUGUUUUUCUUGAGUACUGGAGAGGCAGACGGAAUUCCUAGUGUAGCGGUGAAAUGCGUAGAUAUUAGGAGGAACACCAGUGGCGAAGGCGGUCUGCUGGACAGCAACUGACGCUGAGGCGCGAAAGCGUGGGGAGCAAACAGGAUUAGAUACCCCGGUAGUC